This 252-nucleotide long non-coding RNA is filed under the name Musa acuminata (dwarf banana). RNAcentral describes it as "long non-coding RNA (MACU_LNC001703)". The record is from RNAcentral. Lineage: Eukaryota; Viridiplantae; Streptophyta; Magnoliopsida; Zingiberales; Musaceae.
GAGGCGUAGUUAUUCGAGCCGCCACCACCUCUUCCUCCUCUCCUCCUGGGACGGCCACCGGCGACUCCAAUCCGGUAACACAGGUCUUAUUCGUCUACCCUUCAUUCGCAAUUCGAUUUAUCAUCGGAUUUAGACCUUUUAUACUCUAUCCUUCAUUCGCAAUUCGAUUAAUCAUCGGAUUUAGACCUUUUACACUCUGUCCGCUUCUUAGUUAAUGUCACGGGAGAGGAAUGGUUCGGUGAUGUGCAGACU